UUGGAGGGCAAGUCUGGUGCCAGCAGCCGCGGUAAUUCCAGCUCCAAUAGCGUAUAUUAAAGUUGUUGCAGUUAAAAAGCUCGUAGUUGAAUUUCGGGAUCAAUUUAUCGGUCGUGCCAAUGGUAUGGACUGGUACAAUUGGUUUCUCCCUUCUGACGAAGCAUGAUGUCAUUAAUUUGGUGUCGUGGGGAAUCAGGACUGUUACUUUGAAAAAAUUAGAGUGUUUAAAGCAAGCAUUAGCUUGAAUACAUUAGCAUGGAAUAAUGAAAUAGGACGUUUGAUCCUAUUUCGUUGGUUUCUAGGAUCGACGUAAUGAUUAAUAGGGAUAGUUGGGGGCAUUAGUAUUCAAUUGUCAGAGGUGAAAUUCUUGGAUUUAUUGAAGACUAACUACUGCGAAAGCAUUUGCCAAGGAUGUUUUCAUUAAUCAAGAACGAAAGUUAGGGGAUCGAAGACGAUCAGAUACCGUCGUAGUCUUAACCAUAAACUAUGCCGACUAGGGAUCGGAUGAUGUUAAUUUUUUAAUGACUCAUUCGGCGCCUUACGGGAAAC
This 549-nucleotide ribosomal RNA is filed under the name uncultured Glomeromycotina. RNAcentral describes it as "SSU rRNA". It matches the Rfam family "Eukaryotic small subunit ribosomal RNA", at positions 548 to 1098 of the family's 1831-position model. Lineage: Eukaryota; Fungi; Glomeromycota. The record is from RNAcentral.